UCGCGUGCUCACCUUCCCCAAUCCCCUCCCGAGGAGACAAAAACGAGCGCUCCCAAUCCUUGGAGCCGCGGCCGCCGCAUCCCCAUCUCCAGCUCCGGCUCCGGCUCGUCGCGGCCUCCCCCCACCGCAUCCCCAUCUCCGGCUCGUCGCGGCCGCCGCGCCCCCAUCUCCGGCUUGUCGCGGCCGCCGCGCCCCCAUCUCCGGCUUGUCGCGGCCGCCUCCCUAGCUCCCCACCGCGCCGGCCUCCUCUCCGGCGAGCCGCCGUCGCCCGCGCCCUCCCGAUCUGGGUCAUCAAGGCAAAGGACGAGCGGCUCUUGCUGGCACGGCCGCGCUCACCUCGGUCUUCAUUGGCUCCGGCGAGGCAGGGCCGUGGGUGUCGGCUGCGGCCUUCGUCGGCGGCGCGCUAACCGUACCUCGUGCCGUCGCCAUCGCCGGGAAGAGGGGCAGGUGGCGGCUGCACUCCAUCUCUCCCUCGUGCUCUCAGUCUGCACUCUCCUCAAUGGCGGGUCAGGAGGGGAAAAGGUGGAGGUCGUUGGGAGAUGGUUGGCCGCCAGAUCCCCUCUCCUAUAUGAUGUUGGAGAUAAAAUCCCCAUGAAUUUAGGUUAGGGUCUGCCAAAUUUAGUCACAGUUAAAGAUGUUAAUGCUGAUGCUGUUUUUGUUGCUUGCCUCAUGGAAGAACACAUGGUUCUUCUAUCAGGAAAUUAUUAGAGAUCUACCGUACCCAAGCAGAUUGUUGAUCUCUCCGCGGAUUUCCUGUUGCGUGACAUCAAUGAGUAUGAAGAGUGGUAUGCCCAUGCUCAUAGGGCACCGGAACUUCAGGGUUUGAGACCCGUUUUCCAUGCCCCCUUCCUCGAUCUGUGGCUAUGCCGUUCUUAAGCUGGAGCGGCUGUGUUCUUGUACAGGUUUGUGCUUGUGUCUGGUUAUUGCUAGGGGAAUAGU
This is a long non-coding RNA of Lolium perenne, 939 nucleotides long. RefSeq lists it as uncharacterized. Lineage: Eukaryota; Viridiplantae; Streptophyta; Magnoliopsida; Poales; Poaceae. The record is from RefSeq and is a predicted model, not a curated record.